AGUGAACGCUGGCGGUAGGCCUAACACAUGCAGGUCGAACGGCAGCACAGUAAGAGCUUGCUCUUACGGGUCGCGAGUGGCGGACGGGUGAGGAAUACAUCGGAAUCUACUUUUUCGUGGGGGAUAACGUAGGGAAACUUACGCUAAUACCGCAUACGACCUACGGGUGAAAGCAGGGGAUCUUCGGACCUUGCGCGAUUGAAUGAGCCGAUGUCGGAUUAGCUAGUUGGCGGGGUAAAGGCCCACCAAGGCGACGAUCCGUAGCUGGUCUGAGAGGAUGAUCAGCCACACUGGAACUGAGACACGGUCCAGACUCCUACGGGAGGCAGCAGUGGGGAAUAUUGGACAAUGGGCGCAAGCCUGAUCCAGCCAUACCGCGUGGGUGAAGAAGGCCUUCGGGUUGUAAAGCCCUUUUGUUGGGAAAGAAAAGCAGCAGGUUAAUACCCCGCUGUUCUGACGGUACCCAAAGAGUAAGCACCGGCUAACUUCGUG
RNAcentral lists this ribosomal RNA (492 nucleotides) under uncultured bacterium. Its description in RNAcentral is "partial 16S ribosomal RNA". It matches the Rfam family "Bacterial small subunit ribosomal RNA", at positions 29 to 507 of the family's 1533-position model. The record is from RNAcentral.